Molecule: long non-coding RNA, 1866 nt
Organism: Astatotilapia calliptera (eastern happy)
Lineage: Eukaryota; Metazoa; Chordata; Actinopteri; Cichliformes; Cichlidae
Source: Ensembl
CUUUUCGUUCACAAUCAGCCAAGACCAGCCUCCCCAUAUGCUUGACCACCUGCCAGAACAGCUCACAUUUUGUUGGUUAAAGUUUGACACCAUGGGUGUUAAGUCAUUUACUCACUUAAAACAUUCAUUGAAAAAAGCAGUUGUCAUCCAGAGAAUGUAACAUCUUUUACAUGCUGCAUUGAAAAGAAACUGGAACAUUAGAGAAUCCAAAUGGAAUCCUCAACUACUCAUAAAGACCCAAAGGAGUAAUUCAUGCUUUAAUUUUUCUGCCUCCUUAGCCAUGAAGGUCUGGUGAUAGGCUUAUGCUUUGGUCUUGGAUGCUGAACGAACUGUGUUAGAUUUAUGGAUGUUCUACAAAUAGAAGCUCCCAGAAUACGAACUGAAUUAGGAAAGAAAGCUUUUCAAUUUUUGAAUAAAGUAAAAUCUGAAAUUGUUGGAUUGAAGGGUUUAAAUUUCAAGUGAGAUAAUUACAGUUUACCUUAUUCUUGUGCAAGUAUUUUAUGACAGUUUUGAUGUUCCUGAUUUAAUCUGAUUCAAUUCAGUUCAAUUCAAUUGUAUUUAUGCAGCACCAAAUCACAACAACAGUCACCUCAAGGCACUUUAUAUUGUAAGGUAGACCCUACAAUAAUACAUACAGAGAAAAACCCAAUAAUCAUAUGACCCCCCUAUGAGCAAGCACUUUGGCGACAGUGGCAAGGAAAAACUCCCUUUUGACAGGAAGAAACCUCCGGCAAAACCAGGCUCAGGGAGGGGCGGGGCCAUCUGCUGCGACCGGUUGGGGUGAGAGAAGGAAGACAGGAUAAAGACAUGCUGUGGAAGAGAGAGAGAUUAAUAACAAGUAUGAUUCAAUGCAGAGAGGUCUAUUAACACAUAGUGAGUGAGAAAGGUGACUGAAAAAGAAAUGCUCAAUGCAUCAUGGGAAUACCCUGGAAGCCUACACCUAUUGCAGCAUAACUAAGGGAGGAUUCAGGGUCACCUGAUCCAGCCCUAACUAUAUGCUUUAGCAAAAAGGAAAGUUUGAAGCCUAAUCUUCAAAUUAGAGAUAGUGUCUGUCUCUGAAAUCCAAACUGGAAGCUGGUUCCACAGAAGAGGCGCCUGAAAACUGAAGGCUCUGCCUCCCAUUCUACUUUUAAAUACUCUAGGAACAACAAGUAGGCCUGCAGAGCGAGAGCGAAGUGCUCUAAUAGGGUGAUGUGGUCAUUAAGAUAAUCUAAUGUGUCUUUCUAUGUAAUUCGAUGCCUUUUUGGUCAGACCUCCCUUGUAAAAAAAAAGAAAAAGUGGCAGAUAUGUUUGCUGAACUCCAAACUGACAAUUUAAAGAUCUUAUAGCUGUAUGCAGACUUGUGUGUCUGAGAUGAGAACAACAACCAUGGUGUCAUCAUUAAACUUGAUGAUAUUACAUAGGUGGGCUAGAUUACUAUGGAUUACUGUUACCAUGGGUGUUGAGGGAAAACAGCAGUGGAUCCAGCAUAUGGUUACCCUUGAGGGUAACUGACUCUGAGUGAGUGAGUGGAGGAAAUAUGAAGGCCAGGUUUCACUGGAUUUGAAACACAGCCUUUAAAAACUUGCUUCUGGUUUUGACUUCUUCUCCUGUUCUCCAAGCACUGAUGGGGAAAAUACUGCAGUAAGUACUUGCACCCUAAGCACUGGCAGAAAUGGUAUGCAGUUGUGGCAAUAUUGGUGUGCAAGGUGACAAAUGUGGCAGGUAUACUGGAAUUGUCAGUGGCUGAUUUUAGGUACAGGAAUGAAAGAAAAGGUGGGAUGAGGGCCUGCCACGGACAGGAGUUUAAGAAAAUAGUUAAGAAAUUACUCUGAGUCCUGUAUUUCAAGGUCUGCUGUUAUGAUGUGUUUAGAAAGUAUUCUGGUA